Molecule: long non-coding RNA, 242 nt
Filed under: Spirodela polyrhiza (greater duckweed)
Lineage: Eukaryota; Viridiplantae; Streptophyta; Magnoliopsida; Alismatales; Araceae
Description: long non-coding RNA (SPOL_LNC002607)
Source: RNAcentral
GAUUUUCCACAGAACUAGCCAGUCCAACCAGGUCAACUCAUUCCCGAGACAGCCCAGCGCUGUUGAAGAGGGUUUGAGGGCUCCUGCUGUGCCCUGUGUCUUCCAUCUUUAGGUCUUUCGUUGACUUUCAUGUGGGUUUGACCCCCCCCCCCCUGCUCCCCUGCCCCAAUCAACAGUGACUUGCAUUCAUUGACUUCUCCCUACCCGGCAAAAACAGAAAAAACAUCAGCUUUAAAUCCCCG